Long non-coding RNA from Melitaea cinxia (Glanville fritillary), 276 nucleotides. RefSeq lists it as uncharacterized. Lineage: Eukaryota; Metazoa; Arthropoda; Insecta; Lepidoptera; Nymphalidae. The record is from RefSeq and is a predicted model, not a curated record. The transcript is spliced from 2 exons.
UGCCUUCAAGUGUCAAGCGGGUUGGUUAGUUCUAGCAAACGUUGUUUCUUUCUUGGCAUUUUCUUGUGUCUACAGUUUGGUUUUUGGUUGUUUAGAUUUACGUAUAUAUUUUGUGUUGUCGCGGUAUAUUGGUAACAAAACCCAAACAAUUGUUCUUUCUUGCAUCAAAAACUAGUUUCCUCCGUAAUUUACAUAAUCUUAUACUUGACACUGGCAGAAUGUUGCACAACGAACAGUUGCGACGCUGACAUGCCAUAAAUUAAAGAAGAAGAAGAA